Molecule: ribosomal RNA, 29 nt
Filed under: Trechus cabrerai
Lineage: Eukaryota; Metazoa; Arthropoda; Insecta; Coleoptera; Carabidae
Description: partial 5.8S ribosomal RNA
Source: RNAcentral
CCUGGACCACUCCUGACUGAGGGUCGUAA